Long non-coding RNA from Carya illinoinensis, 638 nucleotides. RefSeq lists it as uncharacterized. The transcript is spliced from 2 exons. Lineage: Eukaryota; Viridiplantae; Streptophyta; Magnoliopsida; Fagales; Juglandaceae. The record is from RefSeq and is a predicted model, not a curated record.
UACUGCUUUUGGGUGCGGUGGAAGCAGAUGAUGAGGUUGAUGCAACAUUGCUGCCUGAUCCAGACUUGAGCUUGGAUUCCAACCACAUGUGAGCUAGAACCUGACAGAUACCUUCCUCAACGUCUUGACUGAGAUUCGGGGGUUGGCAAUCAACGGUAUCCAUAAUUGCAGAUUCCAGACACUCCAGACAGAGCUUCCGUCCAUCCUUAAGGGCAGCAUAUCUCGUCUCUCGUGACUGCAUAUUAUGAACAAAUAUAUUAUGCCACAGAUUUUCUCCAGAAUACUUUCUCAGUUAUAGGGCUUUUUGAUAGAUAAAAGUGUUUCAAUCACAGACCUCCAUUCGCUCACAGCUGCAACACCGAGGAGUGCCAUCAUGUUCAUGAAAAGGGCAGUAUUUCUGAACCCAAAAUGGAUGUGCCCUAUAUUCAAUUAGACCAGCAGGAUUUGUUGGAAUCUGUCGAAAAGAUAUAUAUAUAAUUGAAAAACCAACGACAACGUACAAUGAGCAAUCUAUCUGAGUAAGAAAAACAUUUGAUCAGCACUUCUAUUUUUCUUUCGAAAUAUUUAAAUUUUGAUCUUUCAAACAUGACAUGACUUAUGAACAAGAUUCUCCUUUAUCGCUAAUGAGGAUGCUCUAA